CCCUUAGAUGUUCUGGGCCGCACGCGCGCUACACUGAUGCAUUCAACGAGCCUAUCCUUGACCGACAGGUCCGGGUAAUCUUUGAAUCUGCAUCGUGACGGGGAUAGAUUAUUGCAAUUAUUAAUCUUCAACGAGGAAUGCCUAGUAGGCGCAAGUCAUCAGCUUGCGUCGAUUACGUCCCUGCCCUUGUACACACCGCCCGUCGCUCCUACCGAUUGGGUGUGCUGGUGAAAUGUUCGGAUCGGCCGUUUGUCGCGGUUUCCGCGGCUCGUGGCUGAGAAGUUCAUUAAACCCUCCCACCUAGAGGAAGGAGAAGUCGUAACA
RNAcentral lists this ribosomal RNA (324 nucleotides) under uncultured eukaryote. RNAcentral describes it as "partial 18S ribosomal RNA". It matches the Rfam family "Eukaryotic small subunit ribosomal RNA", at positions 1470 to 1796 of the family's 1831-position model. The record is from RNAcentral.